Molecule: ribosomal RNA, 496 nt
Filed under: uncultured bacterium
Lineage: Bacteria
Description: partial 16S ribosomal RNA
Rfam family: Bacterial small subunit ribosomal RNA
Source: RNAcentral
AUGAACGCUGGCGGCGUGCCUAAUACAUGCCAGUCGAGCGAACAGACGAGGAGCUUGCUCCUCUGACGUUAGCGGCGGACGGGUGAGUAACACGUGGAUAACCUACCUAUAAGACUGGGAUAACUUCGGGAAACCGGAGCUAAUACCGGAUAAUAUAUUGAACCUCCUGGUUCAAUAGUGAAAGACGGUUUUGCUGUCACUUAUAUAUGUAUCCGCGCCGCAUUAGCUAGUUGGUAAGGUAACGGCUUACCAAGGCAACGAUGCGUAGCCGACCUGAGAGGGUGAUCGGACACACUGGAACUGAGACACGGUCCAGACUCCUACGGGAGGAAGCAGUAGGGAAUCUUCCGAAAUGGGCGAAAGCCUGACGGAGCAACGCCGCGUGAGUGAUGAAGGUCUUCGGAUCGUAAAACUCUGUUAGUAGGGAAGAACAAAUGUGUAAGUAACUAUGCACGUAUUGACGGUACCUAAUCAGAAAGCCACGGCUAACUACGUG